This 429-nucleotide long non-coding RNA is filed under the name Phoenix dactylifera (date palm). RNAcentral's name for it is "long non-coding RNA (PDAC_LNC006328)". The record is from RNAcentral. Lineage: Eukaryota; Viridiplantae; Streptophyta; Magnoliopsida; Arecales; Arecaceae.
UAGCAACAAAAGGGUCAGAAGAAAUGAAUGUGGAUAUUUUGUAUGGGACUAAAUCUUCAAUAUUAAAUGUCGCACUAAUCCCAUAGGCUUCAGAAAAAUCUACAACAUAAGCAUUCGAACUGAUUUUCUUUAGGAUUUUGAAUGGUCCCGCACUACGGGAUUGCAACUUUUUGAAUGUUUCCGAAGAAAGCCGUUCAGAUCUAAUUCUCACCAUGACAGAAUCUCCUACAUUCAACUCUUUAUAACGUCUGUGCAAAUCAGUAAGGAUUUAUAUUUUAAGUUAUUAGAGUGAAUACGUUUGCUGAUUUUCUGAUGCAAUGAAUGCAGGUGUGAUGCAAAUGAUUGUGCAGACUCAGAGACUUUAUGUUGAUGAGACAUGGAAAUCAAGUCUAUGGGUUGCCUAGGUUUAUAUCCAUUCACCACUUCGAA